UACAGAGGGGGCAAGCGUUGUUCGGAAUUACUGGGCGUAAAGGGCGCGUAGGCGGCCUGCUAAGUCGAACGUGAAAUCCCCGGGCUCAACCCGGGAACUGCGUCCGAUACUGGCAGGCUUGAAUCCGGGAGAGGGAUGUGGAAUUCCAGGUGUAGCGGUGAAAUGCGUAGAUAUCUGGAGGAACACCGGUGGCGAAGGCGGCAUCCUGGACCGGCAUUGACGCUGAGGCGCGAAAGCCAGGGGAGCGAACAGG
Molecule: ribosomal RNA, 253 nt
Filed under: uncultured bacterium
Lineage: Bacteria
Description: partial 16S ribosomal RNA
Rfam family: Bacterial small subunit ribosomal RNA
Source: RNAcentral